RNAcentral lists this transfer RNA (48 nucleotides) under Alexandrium margalefii. Its description in RNAcentral is "partial Selenocysteine transfer RNA". The record is from RNAcentral. Lineage: Eukaryota; Dinophyceae; Gonyaulacales; Pyrocystaceae.
UGGACAAGGAUUGCAUGCCGCAGGACUUCAUUUUGAUCACUUCGAAGU